Molecule: long non-coding RNA, 563 nt
Organism: Rhipicephalus microplus (southern cattle tick)
Lineage: Eukaryota; Metazoa; Arthropoda; Arachnida; Ixodida; Ixodidae
Source: RefSeq, a predicted model, not a curated record
UGAUACAUAGAAUAGCUUCGCGUAGAACUCGUGCCGCAGUCAAUACAGAGCAUUGACGCCAAGUCUAAAACACCCGUCGGAACCAUUGUAUAAACAAUUCAAUAUGUCGACUGGAAUGACAUUCUCCGACGAGGCCAAGGCAGUGAACGAGGCGCGAAAAACGGACAAGAAGUACCGCUACGUCAUCUACAAGGUAGUCGGAGAGAGUGUAAUCGACGCAGAGGCAACGGGAGAGCGUUCAGCCCCGCUCGAGAACUUCUUGGAGAGUUGCGACCGAGAGAAGCGGGCCAGUGCCGGUGCGCCGUGUACGACUACCCUGUCACAGAGAUGACGGAACUACCACGGACAAGACAUUCCUUAUCACAUGGCUUCCUAACGGAGCCAACACGAGGCAACGGAUGCUGUACUUAAGCGCAUAUGAGACACUCCGACAGCAAGUCACUGGGAUCGAUAAGUUUCUCGAGGCGGGCAGCGUCGAAGAGCUCGAGGAUUCGAUGAAAGGUGCCGUGUGGCAGUGAAAAUAUGAUGUAUUGCAGACAGGCGAAUAAAUGGUAACGAAAAAA